RNAcentral lists this ribosomal RNA (401 nucleotides) under uncultured bacterium. RNAcentral describes it as "partial 16S ribosomal RNA". It matches the Rfam family "Archaeal small subunit ribosomal RNA", at positions 473 to 873 of the family's 1478-position model. The record is from RNAcentral.
CCACCGGCAGCCCAAGUGGUGGCCAUUUUUAUUGGGCCUAAAGCGUUCGUAGCCGGCCUGAUAAGUCUCUGGUGAAAUCCCGCAGCUUAACUGUGGGAAUUGCUGGAGAUACUAUCAGGCUUGAGGUCGGGAGAGGUUAGAGGUACUCCCAGUGUAGGGGUGAAAUCCUAUAAUCCUGGGAGGACCACCUGUGGCGAAGGCGUCUAACUGGAACGAACCUGACGGUGAGUAACGAAAGCCAGGGGCGCGAACCGGAUUAGAUACCCGGGUAGUCCUGGCCGUAAACGAUGUGGACUUGGAGUUGGGAUGGCCUCGAGCUGCCCCAGUGCCGAAGGGAAGCUGUUAAGUCCACCGCCUGGGAAGUACGGUCGCAAGACUGAAACUCAAAUGAAUUGGCGGGG